GACGAACGCUGGCGGCGUGCCUAAUACAUGCAAGUUGAGCGCUGAAGGUUGGUCCUUGUACCAACUGGAUGAGCAGCGAACGGGUGAGUAACGCGUGGGGAAUCUGCCUUUGAGCGGGGGACAACAUUUGGAAACGAAUGCUAAUACCGCAUAAAAACUUUAAACACAAGUUUUAAGUUUGAAAGAUGCAAUUGCAUCACUCAAAGAUGAUCCCGCGUUGUAUUAGCUAGUCGGUGAGGUAAAGGCUCACCAAGGCGAUGAUACAUAGCCGACCUGAGAGGGUGAUCGGCCACAUUGGGACUGAGACACGGCCCAAACUCCUACGGGAGGCAGCAGUAGGGAAUCUUCGGCAAUGGACGAAAGUCUGACCGAGCAACGCCGCGUGAGUGAAGAAGGGUGUCGGAUCGUAAAACUCUGUUGGUAGAGAAGAACGUUGGUGAGAGUGGAAAGCUCAUCAAGUGACGGUAACUACCCAGAAAGGGACGGCUAACUACGUG
This 497-nucleotide ribosomal RNA is filed under the name uncultured bacterium. RNAcentral describes it as "partial 16S ribosomal RNA". It matches the Rfam family "Bacterial small subunit ribosomal RNA", at positions 28 to 507 of the family's 1533-position model. The record is from RNAcentral.